UACGGAGGGUGCAAGCGUUAAUCGGAAUUACUGGGCGUAAAGCGUGCGUAGGUGGUUCGUUAAGUCCGUUGUGAAAGCCCCGAGCUCAACUUGGGAAUUGCAGUGGAUACUGGCGAGCUGGAGUGCGGUAGAGGAAGGUGGAAUUCCCGGUGUAGCGGUGAAAUGCGUAGAGAUCGGGAGGAACACCAGUGGCGAAGGCGGCCUUCUGGACCAGCACUGACACUCAAGCACGAAAGCGUGGGGAGCAACAGG
Molecule: ribosomal RNA, 252 nt
Filed under: uncultured bacterium
Lineage: Bacteria
Description: partial 16S ribosomal RNA
Rfam family: Bacterial small subunit ribosomal RNA
Source: RNAcentral